This 253-nucleotide ribosomal RNA is filed under the name uncultured bacterium. Its description in RNAcentral is "partial 16S ribosomal RNA". It matches the Rfam family "Bacterial small subunit ribosomal RNA", at positions 524 to 776 of the family's 1533-position model. The record is from RNAcentral.
UACAGAGGUCCCAAGCGUUGUCCGGAUUUAUUGGGCGUAAAGAGCGUGUAGGCGGUUAGGUAGGUCCGUUGUGAAAACUCGAGGCUCAACCUCGAGACGCCGAUGGAAACCAUCUAACUAGAGUCCGGAAGAGGAGAGUGGAAUUCCUGGUGUAGCGGUGAAAUGCGCAGAUAUCAGGAAGAACACCCGUGGCUAAGGCGGCUCUCUAGUACGGUACUGACGCUGAGACGCGAAAGCGUGGGGAGCGAACAGG